UACGUAGGUGGCAAGCGUUGUCCGGAUUUACUGGGCGUAAAGGGAGCGUAGGCGGACUUUUAAGUGGGAUGUGAAAUACCCGGGCUUAACCUGGGUGCUGCAUUCCAAACUGGAAGUCUAGAGUGCAGGAGGGGAAAGUGGAAUUCCUAGUGUAGCGGUGAAAUGCGUAGAGAUUAGGAAGAACACCAGUGGCGAAGGCGACUUUCUGGACUGUAACUGACGCUGAGGCUCGAAAGCGUGGGGAGCGAACAGG
Molecule: ribosomal RNA, 253 nt
Filed under: uncultured bacterium
Lineage: Bacteria
Description: partial 16S ribosomal RNA
Rfam family: Bacterial small subunit ribosomal RNA
Source: RNAcentral